CCUACGGGAUGCACCAGUAGGGAAUAUUGCUCAAUGGGCGAAAGCCUGAAGCAGCAACGCCGCGUGCGUGAUGAAGGUCUUCGGAUUGUAAAGCACUUUCGACGGGGACGAUGAUGACGGUACCCGUAGAAGAAGCCCCGGCUAACUUCGUGCCAGCAGCCGCGGUAAUACGAAGGGGGCUAGCGUUGCUCGGAAUGACUGGGCGUAAAGGGCGCGUAGGCGGUUUAUGCAGUCAGAUGUGAAAUCCCCGGGCUUAACCUGGGAACUGCAUUUGAGACGCAUAGACUAGAGGUCGAGAGAGGGUUGUGGAAUUCCCAGUGUAGAGGUGAAAUUCGUAGAUAUUGGGAAGAACACCGGUGGCGAAGGCGGCAACCUGGCUCGAUACUGACGCUGAGGCGCGAAAGCGUGGGGAGCAAACAGGAUUAGAUACCCCAGUAGUC
RNAcentral lists this ribosomal RNA (440 nucleotides) under uncultured bacterium. RNAcentral's name for it is "bacterial SSU rRNA". It matches the Rfam family "Bacterial small subunit ribosomal RNA", at positions 338 to 795 of the family's 1533-position model. The record is from RNAcentral.